UGGUUGAGGAGUGGAUCAUUAGGAAGCCACGUAUUGAGCAAGGCAUGACUUUGAUUCAAUGCCGAAUCAGUAGAUGCUCUAGCAAUAGAUCAUCGUUGGCAUGUCAAGAACUGAUUGCCUCGGUUAAAUUAACUCCGGAAGGGUGUUCUUCUGUAUCCGUAGAUUCUCUAAUGAUGGAACCGAGCAUUUGAUGCCGCUUCAUUUCCUGAGCUUUCCUUCUGUUGGAUUCAAGGAUGAUGAGCAGAGCCGUGAUAUCAGCUGGGUUUACUCCGCCAACUCUACUUGCCUGACCGAUAGUUUGUGGUCUCACCUUAGAUAGUUUUUCGCGGGCUUCAAGAGACAAUGUUGUCAUUGCAUAAUAAUCCAAGUCUUCGGGAAGUACUCUGUGUUGUUGAUGAACCAUCUGCUGGA
This 411-nucleotide unclassified non-coding RNA is filed under the name Hevea brasiliensis (rubber tree). The record is from RNAcentral. Lineage: Eukaryota; Viridiplantae; Streptophyta; Magnoliopsida; Malpighiales; Euphorbiaceae.